CCAAAUACAAUACAAACCAAGAUUAACAUAGAUAUAUGCUAGAUAUCCAACUACUACCUCACAACUAUACACCGAAUGUCCAAUUGAAGAUCUUUUCGCGAACUCCAAAGAUGCUAGAUACGCUACUUUUGAUAAUGAUCCCGCUCCUGCUCCCCGCCUACGCUCCAUAAGGAUACGUACCCAAGAAUGCACAAAAUACAAACUUGGGCCAGCUUACGCUGGUAUAAGUGAUUCUCGCACAAUAAGACAAGCCAUAAAUAACUACAACUAGGGUAUAAUUAUUUAACUUCGCAUACCUUGGUUUCCAUUUAGCUUAUGGUAGGCCAGCCCUGCAUACACGUUAGUGGACCUACCAUCCUGCAAUAUCUUGUACGUGAUAAUUAUAAACACCAUUAUACAUAUAAUAUAUGCUAGAAAUCUAAGCAAGUCACAAAGAAAACAACUUCUAAUAAAGCUAAGCAAGUCAUCACAAUCAAGCCAAAGUUAAUACCCUAGCCACACUCCACAAUAGCCAUAUACUACACACUAUCUAUGGCUAACACAGAUAUCCCUGUGCCUCGUCAGAUAACUCGCAACCACUUUCGAUAACCGGAAUCCAUCAUUGGGAUAUCAACUAAGAUUCCGCCGCCUCGAAAAGGCUAAGCUUAUCCGGAUCGCGCUAUAAACAUUUACCACUCGUCUACUCAUAAGAACGAGAAGGUACUCACCCCGAGCAUAAGGGGUAACGGGCUAAUAAUUCACCUUGGGACACACACACACCAAGGGUUUUCAAAACACUUUUUCUUUUUCUCAUUUCGAAAUUCAAUACACUCAUGGUACUAUAGCCCACUUAAUAUUUUCGGAGUUGUGGCGUGCUAGGAUAUCUGAGUCAAGCUACUGACUCGCGCAACAAAGCAAACACACACAAAAUAAGCUUAACAAUUCAUGAUCCAGAUUAUAAAUCGGAUUAAAAGAUAACCAAGACAUAACCGAUUCACUACUAUAUCACAUCAUCAUUAUUGAGCAUAUAGAAUACAGAUAAUUCUGAAAAGAAGCAGUACAACAACCACAUAUUAUAUAUCAGACAGGUCCACAACUGAAUUCAAUAACGUUCUCUACACAAAUCACAAUGUAUUCCAGCAACACUGCAAAAACCUGUCAGAUAUUGCACCAGAUAUAUGACAGACUAAACAAUCGAUUUAGCCCUCGACUAAAACUGAAAAUAUAAAGCUACAUGAGUCUGGUUUACUGGGUUUUUGAAAUCAACCAAAAAGUUUCGGUAUUGAGUCUGUUGUUUAGGGACGUCCUGAACCUGCUUGUCAGACUUGCAUCAUAAUUUCUACCCAUUUAACAGCAGAAACAGAGAGAAGUGUAAACGGCAAUGUUCUAGAUAAAAGAACUUACUUUCAUCUCCAAUUGGAAUAAUAUAAAAAUAUUCAAUAGUUUAGUUUCUAUGGUUAAAAUGCCGCAGCAGUGCAGAGGUUCCAGGAAUCAAGAAUGUACUGACUAUUUACCAAAAUAAGAACAUGGGUUGAUGUCAUGGACCCAUGAGCAACAAUUCCUACUUAAUCAACCAGGUUCAAUACUCAAAAUAGGAGUAAUUAAACCACAAAAAGAAAAUCACUCACCUUUGGUUAGAGUUAACUCCUUUCCUAAUCCAAAAGAAAGUAAGAUGAUAACUUCAAUCUCACCAAAGAAGCAAGCUUGAAUCACCAACAAGAACCCACCAAU
Molecule: long non-coding RNA, 1710 nt
Filed under: Aquilegia coerulea
Lineage: Eukaryota; Viridiplantae; Streptophyta; Magnoliopsida; Ranunculales; Ranunculaceae
Description: long non-coding RNA (ACOE_LNC001731)
Source: RNAcentral